This 62-nucleotide transfer RNA is filed under the name Oliarus cf. filicicola HI01081. Its description in RNAcentral is "tRNA-Asp". The record is from RNAcentral. Lineage: Eukaryota; Metazoa; Arthropoda; Insecta; Hemiptera; Cixiidae.
AAGAAGUUAGUUUAAAAAAAACAUUAAAAUGUCAAAUUAAAAUUAUUAAAAAAUACUUCUUU